Molecule: ribosomal RNA, 253 nt
Filed under: uncultured bacterium
Lineage: Bacteria
Description: partial 16S ribosomal RNA
Rfam family: Bacterial small subunit ribosomal RNA
Source: RNAcentral
UACGUAGGGGGCAAGCGUUGUCCGGAGUUAUUGGGCGUAAAGCGCGCGCAGGCGGCCUCGCGCGCCCGACGUGAAAGCCCCCGGCUUAACCGGGGAGGGUCGUUGGGGACGGCGGGGCUUGAGGGCGGGAGAGGUCGGUGGAAUUCCCGGUGUAGCGGUGAAAUGCGCAGAUAUCAGGAGGAACACCGAUGGCGAAGGCAGCUCGCUGGGACGGUACUGACGCUGAGGCGCGAAAGCGUGGGGAGCAAACAGG